AAUCUGGCACCUUCGGUGUCCGAGUUGUAAUCUCUAGAAGUGUUUUCCGCGUUGGACCGCACACAAGUCUGUUGGAAUACAGCGGCAUAGUGGUGAGACCCCCGUAUAUGGUGCGGACGCCCAACGCUUUGUGAUACACUUUCGAAGAGUCGAGUUGUUUGGGAAUGCAGCUCAAAUUGGGUGGUAAAUUCCAUCUAAAGCUAAAUAUUGGCGAGAGACCGAUAGCGAACAAGUACCGUGAGGGAAAGAUGAAAAGCACUUUGGAAAGAGAGUUAACAGUACGUGAAAUUGUUGGAAGGGAAACGCUUGAAGUCAGACUUGCUUGCCGAGCAAUCGGUUUGCAGGCCAGCAUCAGUUUUCCGGGGUGGAUAAUGGUAGAGAGAAGGUAGCAGUUUCGGCUGUGUUAUAGCUCUUUGCUGGAUACACCUUGGGGGACUGAGGAACGCAGUGUGCCUUACGGCGGAUUUCUCGAGAUCUUCACACUUAGGAUGCUGGUGGAAUGGCUUUAAACGACCCGUCUUG
RNAcentral lists this ribosomal RNA (522 nucleotides) under Rhodotorula taiwanensis. Its description in RNAcentral is "eukaryotic LSU rRNA". It matches the Rfam family "Eukaryotic large subunit ribosomal RNA", at positions 119 to 656 of the family's 3401-position model. Lineage: Eukaryota; Fungi; Basidiomycota; Microbotryomycetes; Sporidiobolales; Sporidiobolaceae. The record is from RNAcentral.